RNAcentral lists this long non-coding RNA (902 nucleotides) under Fukomys damarensis (Damara mole-rat). RNAcentral describes it as "lncRNA (ENSFDAG00000023627.1)". Lineage: Eukaryota; Metazoa; Chordata; Mammalia; Rodentia; Bathyergidae. The record is from RNAcentral.
GAGAUGUACAUAAUAAAAAGGUAAUGAUUCCUGUCCAUGUUUGAUAGGAAUAAGGUUUUAUUGGUUCCAAUUUCUCCAUUCUGCUAUAACCCGUUUUUACUCAUUUUCUUCCUAGUGAUAUAGUAAAACUUGAUUUCUUCCAUUAAGGUAGAUUCUUUUCUCUUUAUUCCUCUACUUUUCUGCAGGCAGCUGGAAGAAAAUAUUAGUCCUCUGAAUUUACUUAUCCAUCUUGCUGUGACAACUCAUCGUUGUUGAUGUCACAUUCACCUUCUAUCCUUAGUCUUUUUAUGCAAAUACAUUAUAUCCUUUUUUUUCCCCAUCGUGGCCUCCAGAAGCCAUAAUCAGAGUUUUAUUUCUCAAACCACAGAAGGCUUGCAUUAUGCUUUUUUAAAAGACCAUGUCAUCCUUUUAAGCCCUCAUUUUUAGGCAUUUUUAAUCUCUGAGAAAAUUAAUACAAGGUACAACAGACACUAACCCUCCCUUUUCUGCUAAAUUUCACACCACGUCUAUAGUCUACAUAACCUGGCAUUUUUAUUGUUUUCUCCUUCACUCUACCCAGGUUUAUUGCAGUUUCUAAUUUGAGCUCACAGUGAUAGCCAGACACUAGCCUGCUUCAUUUUCAAGAGGAUUUCUCUGUGUGUGCUGACCCUGAAGCUUAGAACUGUGAACCACAGAAAAAUAUACAUAAUGGAACUUAGAAGGAAAAAAAUGAUAACUGAAGAACAUUUGCUUUUUAUCUCACGAGAUUGCAGAAUAAAGACUUGCAUACUUUAUAGUUCCAAAUACUGGUGUAUUAUCUGUGUAUGUAAUUUAAAAGAUAUCACCACUCGUAUGCUCUUUUUUCUUGUACAUCACACUUGAGACCAUAUAACUGUGCUCCCUUCCAAUCCUUUCCCUAAGCC